This 275-nucleotide unclassified non-coding RNA is filed under the name plant metagenome. RNAcentral describes it as "partial contains small subunit ribosomal RNA, internal transcribed spacer 1, and 5.8S ribosomal RNA". The record is from RNAcentral.
GGAAUAACAAGGUUUCCGUAGGUGAACCUGCGGAAGGAUCAUUAUUGUAUAACCGAGGUGCGAGGGCUGUCGCUGACCCGAAAGGUCGUGCACGCCCGAGUGCCCUCACGCACAUCCAUCUCACCCCUAUGUGCACCACCGCGUGGGUCCCCCUUUGGCUUGUUCGGAGGGGGGCUUACGUUUUCACACAAACUUUGUAUGCAGUGUAGAAUGUAUUUUUUGUUUUUGCGAUCACGCAAUCAAUACAACUUUCAACAACGGAUCUCUUGGCUCUC